AUGGCGCGGGAGAGGCGGGCGAUACGGCGGAUAGAGAGCGCGGCGGCGCGGCAGGUGACCUUCUCCAAGCGGAGGCGCGGGCUGUUCAAGAAGGCCGAGGAGCUCGCCGUGCUCUGCGACGCCGACGUCGCGCUCGUCGUCUUCUCCUCCACCGGCAAGCUCUCCCAGUUCGCCAGCUCCAGUAUGAACGAGAUCAUUGACAAGUAUAGUACUCAUUCAAAGAACCUGGGGAAAUCUGAUCAGCAGCCGGCUAUUGACUUAAAUUUAGAGCACUGCAAGUAUGACAGUUUGAAUGAACAACUCGCAGAAGCAAGUCUUCGACUUAGACACAUGAGAGGUGAGGAACUUGACGGACUGAGUGUCGGUGAGUUGCAGCAGAUGGAAAAGAAUCUCGAAACAGGAUUGCAGAGGGUGCUUUGUACAAAGGACCGGCAAUUCAUGCAACAAAUCAGUGACCUCCAACAAAAGGGAACGCAGCUGGCAGAGGAAAAUAUGCGCUUGAAAAACCAAAUGCAUGAGGUGCCAACUGUUAGCACGGUGGCCGUUGCCGAAGCUGAAAAUGUUGUCCCUGAAGAUGCUCAUUCAUCUGACUCUGUGAUGACGGCAGUACAUUCGGGAAGCUCGCAGGACAAUGAUGACGGUUCUGAUAUAUCCCUGAAACUAGCGUUACCUUGGAAGUAA
This 681-nucleotide ribosomal RNA is filed under the name Triticum aestivum (bread wheat). RNAcentral describes it as "partial small subunit ribosomal RNA". Lineage: Eukaryota; Viridiplantae; Streptophyta; Magnoliopsida; Poales; Poaceae. The record is from RNAcentral.